Melitaea cinxia (Glanville fritillary) is the source of this 116-nucleotide long non-coding RNA. RefSeq lists it as uncharacterized. The record is from RefSeq and is a predicted model, not a curated record. The transcript has 2 exons. NCBI's taxonomy places the organism in Eukaryota, Metazoa, Arthropoda, Insecta, Lepidoptera, Nymphalidae.
GUUGAAUAAGUCUGCAUUGCGGACAGCUACUCCAUGUACCUCCAAAAUAAAGCUUCCUAAUGUAGUCAUACCUACAUUCACUGAUUUACCUUCUAUGACGAAGUCAACAACUUCAA